AUGUAAGUGCCUUUCCAGCCCUAUAUACGGUUGUGAUUCAUACCAAGGCAGUCUCAUGCUUUUAGCCCAGACCCACCAACCUACCAAGGACACUGGCCUUUUGUUUUCUUUCACAUCCUUCCCUCGAGAACCCUGAUUUAGGUGUUUCCAUUCUGUACGGUAAUUCUUUUAUUUGUGACCUGAUGAGGAAAGAUUUCCUCAGUCCAAAUAUAGUCGGACUGAGUCACAGCUGUGGGCGUCUGUGACCAGAGUCUGGGCUGUGCCCGAUUCUGCGGAAAUCAAGGAUGCCUUCUUUUGUACCAUCCUUGCUCAAGGGAGAGUUGGAACAUUGACUUGAUGCUGAAGAAGCCUUUCUUCAAAGAGAGCUGAGGGUCACCUGCAUCAGAACCCUUGGAAAUACUUGUAAAACAAGUGCUGUUCCACCCCAACAGCGGGGCAGCUGGAGAGUUUGGAGCCCUGCAGACUGUCCGCCUGGAGCGUUACAAGGCCUUCUACAUUACCGGUGGAGCCAGGGCGUGUGAUGGGAGCACCGGGCCUGAGCUGCAGCAUAAGUUUCCUCUGAUUUUCAACCUGGAAGACGAUACCGCAGAAGCUGUGCCCCUAGAAAGAGGUGGUGCGGAGUACCAGGCUGUGCUGCCCGAGGUCAGAAAGGUUCUUGCAGACGUCCUCCAGGACAUUGCCAACGACAACAUCUCCAGCGCAGAUUACACUCAGGACCCUUCAGUAACUCCCUGCUGUAAUCCCUACCAAAUUGCCUGCCGCUGUCAAGCCGCAUAACAGACCAAUUUUUAUUCCACGAGGAGGAGUAUCUGGAAAUUAGGCAAGUUUGCUUCCAAAUUUCAUUUUUACCCUCUUUACAAACACACGCUUUAGUUUAGUCUUGGAGUUUAGUUUUGGAGUUAGCCUUGCAUAUCCCUUCUGUAUCCUGUCCCUCCUCCACGCCGACCCGAGAGCAGCUGAGCCACGCUGGCUCUGGGCA
This 979-nucleotide small RNA is filed under the name Pan troglodytes (chimpanzee). RNAcentral describes it as "processed transcript". The record is from RNAcentral. Lineage: Eukaryota; Metazoa; Chordata; Mammalia; Primates; Hominidae.